Molecule: small RNA, 782 nt
Filed under: Sarocladium bacillisporum
Lineage: Eukaryota; Fungi; Ascomycota; Sordariomycetes; Hypocreales; Sarocladiaceae
Description: eukaryotic LSU rRNA
Rfam family: Eukaryotic large subunit ribosomal RNA (bases 198-782)
Source: RNAcentral
CCUGUCCGAGCGUCAUUUCAACCCUCGGGCCCACCCUUCGCGGGGAACGGGCCCGGCGUUGGGGACCGGAGGCCGCCUCGGCGGCACCCGCCCCCUAAAUUCAGUGGCGGUCGCGCCGCAGCCUCCCCUGCGUAGUAGCACACCUCGCACCGGAGAGCGGCACGGCCACGCCUCGAAACCCCCCAAUUUUUUCAGGUUGACCUCGGAUCAGGUAGGAAUACCCGCUGAACUUAAGCAUAUCAAUAAGCGGAGGAAAAGAAACCAACAGGGAUUGCCUCAGUAACGGCGAGUGAAGCGGCAACAGCUCAAAUUUGAAAUCUGGCCGCAAGGUCCGAGUUGUAAUUUGUAGAGGAUGCUUUUGGCGAGGUGACUUCCGAGUUCCCUGGAACGGGACGCCAUAGAGGGUGAGAGCCCCGUACGGUCGUGCCACCGAGCCUCUGUAAAGCUCCUUCGACGAGUCGAGUAGUUUGGGAAUGCUGCUCUAAAUGGGAGGUGUACGUCUUCUAAAGCUAAAUACCGGCCAGAGACCGAUAGCGCACAAGUAGAGUGAUCGAAAGAUGAAAAGCACUUUGAAAAGAGGGUUAAAAAGUACGUGAAAUUGUUGAAAGGGAAGCAUUCAUGACCAGACUUGGGCUUGGUUGAACAUCCGGCGUUCUCGCCGGUGCACUCUGCCAGCUCAGGCCAGCAUCAGUUUGCCCCGGGGGACAAAGGCGGCGGGAAUGUGGCUCCCUACGGGGAGUGUUAUAGCCCGUCGUGUAAUGCCCUGGGGUGGACUGAGGUUC